RNA transcript from Neofelis nebulosa (Clouded leopard), 1875 nucleotides. It is a transcript of the gene named intraflagellar transport 25, with no coding region annotated. The record is from RefSeq and is a predicted model, not a curated record. Lineage: Eukaryota; Metazoa; Chordata; Mammalia; Carnivora; Felidae. The transcript is spliced from 9 exons.
CUUUGACACCAAGCCGAAGGCAUUGGCCCCUGGGAGUACCAAGUCAGGGAUACUGCGAAAUUGACUCCUCUAGGUUUUCAGAAAGGGACCAGAAAUGUCAUGUGAACUGGAGAUUAAAGGGUGGCUAAGUCGCCCUGGGUUUAGAGUACAGGAUAAGACAUCAGGGAAGUCCAGGGUCAGGGACCUUAAAAGGUGCAGAGGAUGGUACCUCAGAGUGCACCCCCUUUAGUAAACUGAGGCCCUAAGGGAAUACCUGAUUGAGAGUAAGGUAUCCCAGGGUGGGGUUUAGGCUACAUCGCAAACCUGCAUCUUGUAAUUGUGGAAGCAACAUAUGUACGGAGUUGUCUGGUGGGUUUCUUUGGGGCUAGUUUGCCUCUUUGUUAUUAACCACAACAAAGGAACCUUAAAGAGAACUCAACUUCUGCCAUUAAAUAAUUACAUCCAACACAGGAAAUGGGAAGGAUAUUGACGGACAUAAGGAGAUUCAGCUUCAUAGUCACUUUGCAUCUACAUAUUGGUUUGUGCCCUGUCACGACCAGAUCAAGGAGAAAGAUUAAACACUUUAAGAUGAGAAAAAAUGACCUGUGUUUGAGCUCUGAGGGGGCGGAAGUGAUUUUAGCUACAUCAAGUGAUGAAAAACACCCUCCUGAAAAUAUGAUUGAUGGGAAUCCAGAUACAUUUUGGACCACAACAGGAAUGUUUCCCCAAGAGUUCAUUAUUUGUUUUCACAAACAUGUAAGGAUUGAAAGACUUGUAAUCCAAAGUUACUUUGUGAGGACGUUGAGGAUUGAAAAGAGCACCUCUAAAGAGCCAGUUGAUUUUGAGCCAUGGAUUGAAAGAGAUCUAGUCCACACAGAGGGGCAGCUUCAAAAUGAAGAAAUUAUGGAAACACGAGGGAUGGAUAAACAAGUAAAAUGACACCAAAAGGAAGCAAAUAGACUAGAGGCCAUUUUGUAGCUCACUGAAAUGUGCAGAGCUGCGCCUUCCCUGCACAAGGUAAGAUAUGCUUCCUGGCCUUCUUGGCUUGGGUAGGGCCAUGUGACCAAUUGUGGGUGAUGAGAUGAGGGGAAAGUGAUUGCUAGGCCGAGCAUUUAAUUGCCUGCAUGAGACACUUCAAAGCUCUUUUUUUUUUUCUCUGUCACAACGACCGGCCGUGACGUUCUACACAGUAACUACUUCAUCAGUCUGGGUCUGGAAGUGAGCCUGGUGAUGGCAGGUAGCAGACCUCUCAGCCAGUGUGAAAUGGACAUACAGAAGGAAAAAUAAAGGUUCAUCGUUUUAAGUCCAUGAAAUUUGGAGUAUAACCUGGCCUGUCCCGACCGAUUCACAGACAAGUCUAGAAUGUGGCUUAUCCUACAGAGCAAGUGACCUGGUUUCUUCAAGUCAGUGGCCUGAAAAAUGACUCAAGCCAUCUCAGCCCUGAGGUAGCUUCAGAGGAGGGGGAAUGUCCCCAGAGGGCUAAGGUUAAUAAACUCCAAAUGGCAGCGGAGAUGAAACUGAAGGAGAGACAGGCAGGACACAGCAGAGGAGGUGCUGGAGGACGCAUGGUGAAGGCGGGCUGCCGUGAGAAAAUCCAGCAGGCUGGGGGCUUAAACAGACAUUUAUUUUCUCACACUUCUGGAGACUGAAAGGCCAAGCUCAGAGUGCCAGCAUCGUUGGUUUCUGGCAAUGGCCCCUGGACCAAAUGAGGCACCUCCAGCGUAUGGUAUUUUUGCUGAUCAGAUCACACUGGGCUAUAAUUAAAGCUGAAACAGGCUGACACAAAUUGGAAAAGGAAAUGUAAAGAUCACACCGAAGCCAUCCCAAAUAGCCUGAGAUGUUUUAAUCAUUCUGUAUUAGCUUUACUGCAUCUUAAAACAUUUUCGUUCAAGUCAA